Molecule: ribosomal RNA, 463 nt
Filed under: Erronea subviridis dorsalis
Lineage: Eukaryota; Metazoa; Mollusca; Gastropoda; Littorinimorpha; Cypraeidae
Description: partial 16S large subunit ribosomal RNA
Rfam family: Bacterial large subunit ribosomal RNA
Source: RNAcentral
GAGUCGGACCUGCCCAGUGAAUAUUUUUCAACGGCCGCGGUACUCUGACCGUGCAAAGGUAGCAUAAUCAUUUGCCCUAUAAUUGAGGGCUAGUAUGAAUGGUUUGACGUGAACAAAGCUGUCUCUAUGCAAUUUUUUAGAAUUUGAUUUCUAGGUGAGGAAACCUAGAUGUAAUUGAAAGACAAGAAGACCCUAUUGAGCUUUAAAAAAGUAAACUGAAAAUAAUAUAUAAUUCUAAAUAUUAAUCUGUUUUAGAUUUUGGUUGGGGCGACUAUGGAACAAAUAAAGCUUCUUUAUAAUUAAUAAAACUUACAGGUCUUGAUCCAAAAAUUUUGAUCAAUGGAAUUAGUUACCAUAGGGAUAACAGCAUAAUUUUCUUUGAGAGCUCUUAUCGAAAAGAAAGUUUGUGACCUCGAUGUUGGACUAGAAUGUCCUAAAGAUGCAGCAGUCUUUAAGGGUUGUC